Small nuclear RNA from Lycium ferocissimum, 114 nucleotides. RefSeq annotates it as U5 spliceosomal RNA. The record is from RefSeq and is a predicted model, not a curated record. The transcript has a single exon. Lineage: Eukaryota; Viridiplantae; Streptophyta; Magnoliopsida; Solanales; Solanaceae.
AUCCUCAACCAAUGACCCAUAGCGAAGUAUUCUUUCGGCUUUUACUAAAGAAUACCAUGUGUUUGUUUCAAAUGGAGAUGUACUUUUAUUUUCUUUUUUGUGGAACUUCUUGAA